CGCGGCCUAUCAGCUUGUUGGUGGGGUGAUGGCCUACCAAGGCGACGACGGGUAGCCGGCCUGAGAGGGCGACCGGCCACACUGGGACUGAGACACGGCCCAGACUCCUACGGGAGGCAGCAGUGGGGAAUAUUGCGCAAUGGGCGGAAGCCUGACGCAGCGACGCCGCGUGAGGGAUGAAGGCCUUCGGGUUGUAAACCUCUUUCAGCACCGACGAAGCGUAAGUGACGGUAGGUGCAGAAGAAGCGCCGGCUAACUACGUGCCAGCAGCCGCGGUAAUACGUAGGGCGCAAGCGUUGUCCGGAAUUAUUGGGCGUAAAGAGCUCGUAGGCGGUUUGUCGCGUCUGUCGUGAAAGCUUGGGGCUUAACCCUAAGUCUGCGGUGGAUACGGGCAGACUAGAGGCAGGUAGGGGAGAACGGAAUUCCCGGUGUAGCGGUGAAAUGCGCAGAUAUCGGGAGGAACACCGGUGGCGAAGGCGGUUCUCUGGGCCUGUACUGACGCUGAGGAGCGAAAGCGUGGGGAGCGAACAGGAUUAGAUACCCUGGUAGUCCACGCCGUAAACGUUGGGCGCUAGGUGUGGGGUCCUUCCACGGAUUCCGCGCCGCAGCUAACGCAUUAAGCGCCCCGCCUGGGGAGUACGG
This 642-nucleotide ribosomal RNA is filed under the name uncultured bacterium. Its description in RNAcentral is "bacterial SSU rRNA". It matches the Rfam family "Bacterial small subunit ribosomal RNA", at positions 232 to 885 of the family's 1533-position model. The record is from RNAcentral.